CGCGUAGGCGGCUGUGCCAGUCAGGCGUGAAAUUCCUGGGCUCAACCUGGGGGCUGCGCUUGAUACAGCAUGGCUUGAGUGUGGAAGAGGGUCGUGGAAUUCCCAGUGUAGAGGUGAAAUUCGUAGAUAUUGGGAAGAACACCGGUGGCGAAGGCGGCGACCUGGUCCAUGACUGACGCUGAGGCGCGAAAGCGUGGGGAGCAAACAGGAUUAGAUACCCUGGUAGUCCACGCCGUAAACGAUGUGCGCUGGAUGUUGGGCGGCCUAGCCGUUCAGUGUCGUAGUUAACGCGAUAAGCGCACCGCCUGGGGAGUACGGCCGCAAGGUUGAA
Molecule: ribosomal RNA, 331 nt
Filed under: uncultured bacterium
Lineage: Bacteria
Description: bacterial SSU rRNA
Rfam family: Bacterial small subunit ribosomal RNA
Source: RNAcentral